CACCAUCUGGUAAACGAAGGAAAGAUGGGUGCACAACAUCCUGCUUCUUCCCUUAGGCGCCCGGCUGGGAGCCUACCUCCAGUGAAUCCCGCAUGCAGGGCACAUAGGCAACAGCUCCACCCUGGCGCCGCUCCCCUCUGUAAUCAGCCAUUAUGAUCCCAAUUCAGAUCUGGCAGGGGUUAGCAGCAUUCGGGCAGUUUUGUAGCGCCAGUGAACCUGAGUCCCUAAUGAGAGAUGUCAUUCCCUUUCCCCGAGGCUUGGAGGAAAUGCUUAGAUCUCCUCCUUUGCACCUAACCUAACCACACAGCUGCCCAGGGCCGUGAGGUUUGUCUCUGGAUUACUACUAUGGAGUAAGUUGAACAUGGGCAGGCGAGCUGAAUGAUCUCAUAGGCUUUGUGGAAAGCCCUGCAUCUGGAAAAGCAGCCUGUCAUAGAGGAAGGGGGUGCCAUACUAGCUUUCUAGAUGCAGGAUUCUUCUCUAUUCCCACUCCCCAACAUGGAAGAACUCCACCAUGUUCAUUCCUCUGCCCUGUGUUUUGGAUUGGGUCCAGGCCCGCAACAGCUAGAUGUAAAAAUGCUAGAUCUGUAACCACUCUGUAUGUGUGUGUGUGGUCGUCUUUGGCGAUCACUAGUGGCCAAGUAAGAUUGUCUUCCAUGAACACAGUCUUAACGGUGUCUCCGUAAGUGACUGUGGAGGCUCAGUUUUGGAUCCACACGUCCUUCCACAGUGGGGGGACGUAGGUUUCCUGGCGGGAGUUGGUCACGGUGAGGAUUUGCCAAACAUGUAAGAAUAAGCUUGCCCCAAACUCAGGCAUUAUUUGUUCAGUUUGCUUAGGAGCACCUUGCCUGCGGUGAGCACAGUGCCAAAGGUCUGUUGCGUGGAGGGCUGUUUCUGUUGCCUUUCUUUAUCGCCACUGCAGCGUUUUUCCGUCAGAUGCUGCCGGCUUUGGAAAACAUCCUUUUGGAACGCAAAUGGGAGCCAGAGUAUCUCCGCAUCCCCCCUCCGUUCUCAUCUCUGCAUGCAACCAGGGCUGUGAUGUCGGAACAAAAGCAAUUAACGUGCAUGGAAGGCGGAGCGGAGGGCAGCACUCUCUUUUUACGGGGCCCAAAGGAAUGCCUAAAGUUUACUAAAUAGCUUCAUCUGCAAGCAAUCAGAUUCCUUCUUUCCCAGCAGCCCCCUUGCUUUUAAGCAGACUGAUAGCACACACACACACCCGGCCUUUAAAGCAGAGCGCACAAAUUUGACCUCGGAAGGUGUGCUUUAAUUGACAGCAAUCAAAUUAUUAUUUUUUAAAAACAGUUUUGGGGUGGGGUGUGUGUCUAGUUUUAAAUGCAUUUUGGUCAUGGAUCAAUGCAAAAGAAAUAAGGGCUUGAGCUUUCAUAGGACAAUAUAUUCGUUGGUAGGCUUAAUAUGAGCCUGAUGGGUCACAGAAAAAAGGCCCUUGUAGUUCAGCAUCCUAGGGAUGCGGGUGGCCCUGUGGGUUAAACCACAGAGCCUAGGACUUGCCAAUCAGAAUGUUGGUAGUUUGAAUCCCCGCGACGGGGUGAGCUCCCAUUGUUCGGUCCCUGCUCCUGCCAACCUAGCAGUUCGAAAGCACGUCAGAGUGCAAGUAGAUAAAUAGGUACUACUUCGGCAGGAAGGUAAACGGCGUUUCCGUGCGCUGCUCUGGUUCACCAGAAGCGGCUUAGUCGUGCUGGCCACAUGACCCGGAAGCUGUACGCCGGCUCCCUUGGCCAAUAAAGCGAGAUGAACGCCACAACCCCAGAGUCGGCCAUGACUGGACCUAAUGGUCAGGAGUCUCUUUACCUUUACCUAGUUCAGCAUCCUAAUCUCACAGUGGCCAACCAGAUGCCACAAUAGGUCUGAAUGCAACAGCGCACGGUCUACCUGAAGUGCUCUGGCACCCUGCAGUUCUCAGAAACGGGCAUUCAGAGGCCUCUGACAGUGAAGGCAGAACAUACGGUACAUCAUUUUCGCUAAUAGCCGCUGAUAACCUUAAAUUGCCUAAUCCUCUUUUAAAGCCACCCAACUGGUGGUCACCACUGUCUCCUGAGGGAGUGAGUUCCACAGUUUAAUUAUGUUCUGUGUGAAGGACUUCCCUUUAUCUAUCUGUCCACGGAGGCGCAGGUCAAUUCUGUAUCCAGGGCAGCUGUCUACCAGCUCCAUCUGGUACGCAGGCUGAGACCCUACCUGCCCACAGACUGUCUUGCCAGAGUGGUGCAUGCUCUGGUCAUCUUCUGCUUGGACUACUGCAAUGCGCUCUACCUGGGGCUACGUUUGAAGGGGACCCGGAAACUACAACUAAUCCAGAAUGCGGCAGCUAGACUGGUGACUGGGAGCGGCCGCCAAGACCACAUAACACCGGUCUUGAAAGAUCUACAUUGGCUCCCAGUAUGUUUCCAAGCACAAUUCAAAGUGUUGGUGCUGACCUUGAAAGCCUUAAAUGGCCUCGGUCCUGUAUAUCUGAAGGAGUGUCUCCAUCCCCAUCAUUCUACCCAGACACUGAGGUCCAGUGCCGAGGGCCUUCUGGUGGUUCCCUCACUGUGAGAAGCAAAGCUACAGGGAACCAGGCAGAGGUAGUGGCACCCGCCCUGUGGAACGCCCUCCCAUCGGAUGUCAAAGAGAUAAACAACUAUCUGACUUUUAGAAGACAUCUAAAGGCAGCCCUGUUUCAGGAAGUUUUUAAUGUGUGACAUUUUGAUGUAUUUUUAAUCUUUGUUGGAAGCUGCCCAGAGUGGCUGGGGCAACCCAGCCAGAUGGGCAGGGUACAAAUAAAUU
RNAcentral lists this long non-coding RNA (2778 nucleotides) under Podarcis lilfordi (Lilford's wall lizard). The record is from RNAcentral. Lineage: Eukaryota; Metazoa; Chordata; Lepidosauria; Squamata; Lacertidae.